UUUUCGGAUCUCGGCCCGGGAAGCGAGGGCAGCUGUGUGUUAAGGAGAAGAGGAAAACUAGAGAAAAAAACCCAGAGUGAAACCUGUGAAAAAGGAAAAAAGAGUCGGAGCACUUACCCAGUGGAGGUCCGGAGCCAAGUGGCUGAACGAAGGAGAGUUACGUCGGCUAACUGCUUGCCUGUCCUCCGGAGAGCUGCUACGAGGUUCGGCAUCGGCAUGCUCCACCUUGAUACACAGAGCAACGGUCAGGUUUUUUAGAGGACUGAGAGUCUGAGGUUCAGGACAACUUCCUGCUGUGAAAGAUGGCGAGCCAACUACCCUGAUUGAAGAUUAGCACCGAGGAGAUAUUCACGUACACACUCAUUCACACAAAUAAUACACUCACAUUACACUACAAGGAACCUUGGAAUCAGGUGAACUUUCAACAACUCCUUUUAUUUUAAGGGCCCCAACAGACAUUUUUGUUUUAAGUGUGCACACUACUUUUUUAUUUUUCUUACUGUUUGGUAUAAUAUUUUGCAUUUUGUACGAACCAGACAAAUUACUUUGUUCACUGUAAAAUAUAAGAGUGGCUACUCAAUUGUUA
Pleuronectes platessa (European plaice) is the source of this 586-nucleotide long non-coding RNA. RefSeq lists it as uncharacterized. The transcript has 2 exons. NCBI's taxonomy places the organism in Eukaryota, Metazoa, Chordata, Actinopteri, Pleuronectiformes, Pleuronectidae. The record is from RefSeq and is a predicted model, not a curated record.